RNAcentral lists this ribosomal RNA (497 nucleotides) under uncultured bacterium. Its description in RNAcentral is "partial 16S ribosomal RNA". It matches the Rfam family "Bacterial small subunit ribosomal RNA", at positions 28 to 507 of the family's 1533-position model. The record is from RNAcentral.
GAUGAACGCUGGCGGCGUGCCUAAUACAUGCAAGUCGAGCGAACGGGCGAGAAGCUUGCUUCUCUGAUGUUAGCGGCGGACGGGUGAGUAACACGUGGAUAACCUACCUAUAAGACUGGGAUAACUUCGGGAAACCGUAGCUAAUACCGGAUAAUAUUUUGAACCGCAUGGUUCAAAAGUGAAAGACGGUCUUGCUGUCACUUAUAGAUGGAUCCGCGCUGCAUUAGCUAGUUGGUAAGGUAACGGCUUACCAAGGCAACGAUGCGUAGCCGACCUGAGAGGGUGAUCGGCCACACUGGAACUGAGACACGGUCCAGACUCCUACGGGAGGCAGCAGUAGGGAAUCUUCCGCAAUGGGCGAAAGCCUGACGGAGCAACGCCGCGUGAGUGAUGAAGGUCUUCGGAUCGUAAAACUCUGUUAUUAGGGAAGAACAUAUGUGUAAGUAACUGUGCACAUCUUGACGGUACCUAAUCAGAAAGCCACGGCUAACUACGUG